Long non-coding RNA from Ornithodoros turicata, 355 nucleotides. RefSeq lists it as uncharacterized. NCBI's taxonomy places the organism in Eukaryota, Metazoa, Arthropoda, Arachnida, Ixodida, Argasidae. The record is from RefSeq and is a predicted model, not a curated record. The transcript has 2 exons.
GUUACGACAGUGCGACAGUACAAUGAGCGCCAGCGGCCGUGCGGGUGGGUGUUAUAGUAUUACAGCUCGACUACAACUGUGGAGACCGCUUUAUAUCAAACCUUAAGCUGCUGGGGCUCAAAGGAAAAUAUCGAUCCAUCGUGUGCUAUUAAGAACAUCUCAAAUACAUUGUUAAAUGACUCAAGAUGUCCACAAGGCAGUCAAGCAAGGGACCAAUCAACCAUGAAGUAUUAUCUAUUCCAUGUAACUCUGUACUUCAUCUACUGCUAUAAUUUAAUUACGUUAUAGUUACGCUACAUGUACAUUAGAAUAUGUGUAAUGUUUGACUACAAAUAAAAUACAAUUUUGCAUUCCA